AUUGAACGCUGGCGGCAUGCCUUACACAUGCAAGUCGAACGGCAGCACGGGAGCAAUCCUGGUGGCGAGUGGCGAACGGGUGAGUAAUAUAUCGGAACGUGCCCAGUCGUGGGGAUAACGUAGCGAAAGCUACGCUAAUACCGCAUACGAUCUAUGGAUGAAAGCGGGGGAUCGCAAGACCUCGCGCGAUUGGAGCGGCCGAUAUCAGAUUAGGUAGUUGGUGAGGUAAAGGCUCACCAAGCCGACGAUCUGUAGCUGGUCUGAGAGGACGACCAGCCACACUGGGACUGAGACACGGCCCAGACUCCUACGGGAGGCAGCAGUGGGGAAUUUUUGGACAAUGGGCGCAAGCCUGAUCCAGCAAUG
Molecule: ribosomal RNA, 366 nt
Filed under: uncultured bacterium
Lineage: Bacteria
Description: bacterial SSU rRNA
Rfam family: Bacterial small subunit ribosomal RNA
Source: RNAcentral